AACGAACGCUGGCGGCGUGCCUAAUACAUGCAAGUUGAGCGCUGAAGGUUGGUACUUGUACCAACUGGAUGAGCAGCGAACGGGUGAGUAACGCGUGGGGAAUCUGCCUUUGAGCGGGGGACAACAUUUGGAAACGAAUGCUAAUACCGCAUAAAAACUUUAAACACAAGUUUUAAGUUUGAAAGAUGCAAUUGCAUCACUCAAAGAUGAUCCCGCGUUGUAUUAGCUAGUUGGUGAGGUAAAGGCUCACCAAGGCGAUGAUACAUAGCCGACCUGAGAGGGUGAUCGGCCACAUUGGGACUGAGACACGGCCCAAACUCCUACGGGAGGCAGCAGUAGGGAAUCUUCGGCAAUGGACGAAAGUCUGACCGAGCGACGCCGCGUGAGGGAAGAAGGUUUUCGGAUCGUAAAACUCUGUUGGUAGAGAAGAACGUUGGUGAGAGUGGAAAGCUCAUCAAGUGACGGUAACUACCCAGAAAGGGACGGCUAACUACGUG
This 497-nucleotide ribosomal RNA is filed under the name uncultured bacterium. Its description in RNAcentral is "partial 16S ribosomal RNA". It matches the Rfam family "Bacterial small subunit ribosomal RNA", at positions 29 to 507 of the family's 1533-position model. The record is from RNAcentral.